CCCAUUCACGGGUUGAUUCCAAAGUUUGUGUGGUUUUCCCGAUCACCUUCUUCUUUCUCUCUCUAUAUAACUGUAAAAGAGUUACUUAUUGCCAUGUACCUGUGAAGAGAAAGUGAACUGACUGAGCUUUCUAUUGUUGGAAAUGGAGAUGGUAAGGAAGCUGGCGUUGGUGUUUUUGAUGGUUGCAGUACUGCUUGAGGGGUCGAGGGCUGCUGUGAAAUUGUGUGACAUGGAUGAUGAUGGUCUUUCAGCGUGCAAGCCAUCGGUGACUCAGCCCGACCCUGUUGACCCAACGCCUGGCUGUUGUCAGGCUCUUUCUGGGGCUGACUUGAAGUGCCUUUGUUCCUAUAAGAACUCGAUGGUGCUGCCUGCUCUUGGCAUCGACCCUGAUCUUGCCAUGGCUCUGCCUGCCAAGUGCAGCCUCACCCCACCUGCCGACUGCUAAGGUUCUUGAAGGGUAUGUGGAUGCGCCACAUUCCGGCUGCUAUCAAUAAUUUGCAAGAAUUAAGAAUGUGGGUGUCAGAAUUGUAUGCAGUUCUGUUGUGUCUUCGCUAGUUUGUGUCUUUGAAUAGUGAUUUGUAUUUUGUAAUGUACUCUUUAAAUUGGGUUUGUAAUAUGAUCUUGAAAUGUUUGAUGUAUGACAUUUCAGUUAAAAGUGAAACCGUGUUUAUCAACAACUAGUUUUUGAGUAUUCA
This is a long non-coding RNA of Juglans regia (Persian walnut), 695 nucleotides long. RefSeq lists it as uncharacterized. Lineage: Eukaryota; Viridiplantae; Streptophyta; Magnoliopsida; Fagales; Juglandaceae. The record is from RefSeq and is a predicted model, not a curated record. The transcript is spliced from 2 exons.